Molecule: ribosomal RNA, 253 nt
Filed under: uncultured prokaryote
Description: partial 16S ribosomal RNA
Rfam family: Bacterial small subunit ribosomal RNA
Source: RNAcentral
UACAGAGGUCUCAAGCGUUGUUCGGAUUCAUUGGGCGUAAAGGGUGCGUAGGUGGCGUGGUAAGUCGGGUGUGAAAUUUCGGAGCUUAACUCCGAAACUGCAUUCGAUACUGCUGUGCUUGAGGACUGGAGAGGAGACUGGAAUUUACGGUGUAGCAGUGAAAUGCGUAGAGACCGGGAAGAACACCAGUGGCGAAGGCGGCUACCUGGACAGGUACUGACGCUGAAGCGCGAAAGCUAGGGGAGCAAACAGG